GAUGAACGCUGGCGGCGUGCCUUAUACAUGCAAGUCGAGCGAACAGACGAGUGGCUUGCUCCUCUGACGUUUGCGGCGGACGUGUGUGUUACACGUGGAUAUCCUCCCUAUAAGACUGUGAUAACUUCGGGAACCCGUUGCUACUACCUGCUAAUAUCUUAUACCGCCUGGUUCCAUUGUGAAAUACGGCUUUGCUGUCACUUAUAGAUUGAUCCGCGCCUGAUUAGCUAGUUGGUAGGGUAACGGCUUACCAAGGCAACGAUGAGUAGCUGACCUGAGAGGGUGAUCGGCCACACUGGAACUGAGACACGGUCCAGACUCCUACGGGAGGCAGCAGUAGGGAAUCUUGCACAAUGGGCGAAAGCCUGACGGAGCAACGCCGCGUGAGUGAAGAAGGUCUUCGGAUUGUAAAACUCUGUUAUUAGGGAAGAAAAAAUGUGUAAGUAAAUAGGCACGUGUUGACGGUACCGGAACAGAAAGCAACGGCUAACUACGUG
RNAcentral lists this ribosomal RNA (497 nucleotides) under uncultured bacterium. RNAcentral describes it as "partial 16S ribosomal RNA". It matches the Rfam family "Bacterial small subunit ribosomal RNA", at positions 28 to 507 of the family's 1533-position model. The record is from RNAcentral.